GGCCGUAUCACGUUGAAACACCUGUUCUCGUACGAUCACUGAAGUUAAGCAAUAUCGAGCCUGGUUAGUACCUAGAGUGGUGACAGCUUGGGAAUAUCAGGUGCUGUAAG
Molecule: non-coding RNA, 110 nt
Organism: Acanthosepion pharaonis
Lineage: Eukaryota; Metazoa; Mollusca; Cephalopoda; Sepiida; Sepiidae
Source: the annotation of a GenBank genome assembly